GGGUGGUGGCUGGGGCCAGGCGCUUGUGCCAAGACACCCAGGUGAACAAGAUCAUACACCGUUCCACAAGAAGAAGAAUCUGCAGGCCGAAGACAUCGUUUACGAGCGGGCAAAAAGACUAUCUCUCCUUUCUAUCGGAAAGUCCUGAACAUCCAAAGAUUCUUGAGUUAUUAAGUAUGAACUUUAUGCACAUAUCAUGAAGAAACCACCUUUUAACCAACUGAAGGGUACACGAGCUCAUAAACUGCGUAACAGAAAUACUCUUUCGAUUGCAUUAGGCUGUUUUGGUUUAGCAAUACUUUCUCACUUUAUUCUGAUAAAAUUUGCAAAAAAUCCAGGAGAAAAAUUCACGCCAUAUAUUGAUUCUUUUCUGGAUCCAAGAAAGAAAAGAAGACUCGAUGAACCCAUUGUAACAAUAAAAGAGGAUAUAUGAAAAAAUUAUUGUGUUAUUUAUGUUUAUGUAGAUAAAUUGUUAAUCUUUUUUUGUAAAAAUGUUCUCUGUAUACUUGGUUUCAAGUAUUGUUAAAAUCUGUGGUUCAUUCACGAAUAAAAAUUGAAGCCAAUGCGGGUUA
Long non-coding RNA from Stegodyphus dumicola, 572 nucleotides. The record is from RefSeq and is a predicted model, not a curated record. Lineage: Eukaryota; Metazoa; Arthropoda; Arachnida; Araneae; Eresidae.